This is a non-coding RNA of Cyanistes caeruleus (blue tit), 8189 nucleotides long. The record is from RefSeq and is a predicted model, not a curated record. Lineage: Eukaryota; Metazoa; Chordata; Aves; Passeriformes; Paridae.
GCCAGCCGCAGUCGCCUGGGCGGGGGGAGAGGGGGAGUCCCCCUUCUCCAGGGGCUUCUGGCGGUAGAGGGGGCCUGGCUCGCAGCGGAGCGUGGAGACGGAGCCCUUCUCCCAGGGGAAACGGGGGGGUACCUCUGGCCGAGGGCACCGAGGUGGUGAGGGGACCGCGGCAGAGGCUCCUGCCCAGGGAGCUGUGACGAAGGGCAAAGCCCCUUCCCUUGGGUGAUGAGGAGAGGCUGCCCAGGGACAAGGUGGUUGUGGGGAAAGCUCCUUCAGGCAGGUAGAGAGGGAAGAGCCCCCUCGUUCCAGGCCAGCCUGAGCGGGACUGACCCGCUGUGGGGUGGAAGGUGUGAGGGCCGGAGGCCGGCUCACCCGGCCUGCGCUGCGGGGCCGAGCCCCGGUGGGGCAGAGGAGGAGGCUGAUGGUGGGGCAGCCUGCACUCUGCUCCAUCCUCCCGCACUCUGCUCCAUCCUCCCGCACUCUCUGCUCCAUCCUCCCGCACUCUGCUCCAUCCUCCCGCACUCUCUGCUCCAUCCUCCCGCACUCUGCUCCAUCCUCCCGCGCAAGGGCAAAGGUUGCGGUGGCAAAGAGCAGAGCAAACCGGCGGUGCAGAGGAGCUCCCCUUACACAAGAAACGACCGCCUGCGUGAAUUAGCAUGAAAAAGUAAUGCGUGAAGACACAGGUCUGGAAAGGAAACUGCAGUACAAGGCUGGUAGCUUGCGGGUUGACCUGCAGGUGCUGCUUUACCUGUCUGGGAGGUGUGAAGUGCCUGGAGGCUGCAGAGGGACAGCGAGCAGCACACCUGACAGCUCCCAUCCCUUACACUGUUACUGAGGAUUUCUUUAAGGAAGCUGCCAAAUGUUAUUUUUCCUCUUCAGGAUGUAUUAACAAUAGUUUUAACUGUGUAUGUGAGAUAAGUUUGUGAAGCUGAAGUUUUGUGUCUCCUCAUAAAUGAUAAGGACCCUCUAGGUAUAGGGGUCUUUCCUUUGUAACAAAAUACAGUUAAGGUCUUUUCCAAUCCACAUGAAAACAAAAGCCCUCAAAAUAUAGUACGAAAAUUAGAGAUGCUAAACAAAGAUGACAGUAUUCCUGAAUAUUUAAUCUCCCACAGUACCAUACAUAAAUUAUCUGGGUUCCUGAACCAGGAGUUCAUUUUCCCAGCCUGCUGUGUUAGCUGCUGCACCUCUGCUUUUCAGCCUCAGAAGCGCCUCCAAACAAAUAUGCAUUACCCAUAGAACUGAUCUUGGAUUUUUGGGCCACUUAAGGAGAAAAAAAGGGAUAAGUAUGUCAAAUGUUGUUUUGUUCUGGGGAAAUGAUACUACAGAGUCUACAUCUAAAUGGAUUGUCCAUAUGGUUUUUGAACUCCCUGUAUUCAGCCAUACUAUUUAUGAACCUGUGGAAAAACAUUGUGAAAUUUAUUGUGUGUUGAUCUUGUCCAUGGGGCAGGUGGUUAUUUUCAUCCUCUGCAACACUGCUAACACAGGUGAUCAGCUGUGCCUGAGCUGUGAAUCAGGGAACAGAUCUCCAGUGGCCAUGGGACUUUGUCAGCUUUCCUGCCACCCCCCUGUGCCUCUGCCCUUGUCAGUAACUUCAACAUGGAAUGUAACUUUCAUACUAUUUCCAGACUAAUUUACCUAGUGUUCUCUACUGUAUUAGUUAAAUCUGCAGCUUCACAAUAUUUGCUUUUUAAUUUUAACCUUGCCCAGAACCUUUUCUGCUUCUGACCAUUGCAGCUGACUAAUCAACGAUCUUGUCAUAAAUGUUGUGUUUCAGCUUGUGCCGAAUUCAUGUUUAGUUUCAUGUCCUGGUACAUGUCUGCUUGAGUUAUACAAUGUUUGUCUGUAUACUUUGCAAGUUUAAUUUGCAGGUCCUUCUGUUUUGGAAAACCAGAUAAGGAAUUAAAAAUGCAAAGAACCACAAAGAUAGGGAGAAGACCCAAAACCUUCAGAGAAGAAGAGGCAAGCUUGUGAUCUUGGCCCACUUUUAAGGAAGGUCACAGAAACUAGUGUGGGAAAAAAAGGUGGGGUGAUUUGGAUUUUUUCUGACUGUCUGCUGACACUAAGUCGACAGGCAGGUUCUUUCCAUGGCAAAUCCCUCAAAGAAUCUCUAUUUCUUCUCCUUUACUGCUGGGUGACACUGACACUGUUGUUGAACACAUAACUGGGGAAUGUGCUCUGCUGCAUCCUCACUGCUUAGUGUGUCUUCAUCAUGUGUGAGAUCUUGAGCAAUCUUUAGGAGAUACAGGAAUGUAGCUCUGGAACCUGACUUUUGCACAAAUGCAAGGAGAAUAAAGCCAUUACAGAAGGACUGAACAUUGUUCAAACCAUAUAAAUAAAUUUAGCCAGUAUGAGUAUGUUAUACUUGUUGGAUUUUUUUUUUUUUACACAGCAACAUCAUGUUUUUAGUCAUGGAUCAGAAAACACAAGUAAUAACUCUCAUCAUCUCAUCUUCCUAUCUAGAAAUACUGAUGGUUAUUUUCAAUUUUUGCAUAAGGAAACCAUAUUACAGAGAAAUUGAAGGUAACUUAUUCAUGCCUUAAAGCAGCACAGAUUGCUGUGAUGGACCAUUCUUUACUGAUUGAGUUCAGAACUCAGGUUUGACAAGAGUCAAUGUCAGAAAAAAUACAGUGUGCACUUAGAGAUAAGGGAUUAUAAAAAUUAGGUUUCUUCCUAAAAGUUAUCUGACAGCGAAUGAUGCACAUCUAGGAUGCAUAUGACCUCUCUAAACUCUUUGAGAAUAUGCUGUGUUAAGAUGUUUUAUAAAUUAAUUAUACUUUGUAAAAAUUACAUUUUUUUUAUAAUGCAAGAAUUUUUCAUUUAAGUUUUAUUAAUAUCUCUGUUAUAGGGAAGUAAAUAUUGUAAUAUGUCUUAAUACUGGUAAUUAUUCUUACUCUUUCCCUAUAUACAAGUAUUUUCAUAUUCUAUUCCUUUUCCCUGUAGAAGAUUUUUGUUUCUGUUUUUUGCAAAUUCUUAACCUUUUUUAUCUUUUUAAUUGGGGAGCAGGAUUAGGACACACAGAAUUGCAUGAAGCAUUUCAGAAGAGGGAUUUCCAUCAGCUUUUAGUCUACUGUUAAGUUGAGCAUUAUUCUCUACAUCGUGGUUUAUGUUCAAGGCAUCUGUAUUACCUUCAGAGGACUUCCAUCUGGAGACCUGAAUGAUCAAAGGGUGCAGGUUAUCUCUGAGUUCUGUAAUUGUUUUCUAUCUGAGGCAACUGAAUAUUAGCCUGGAUUGACAGUUCUAAUAUAUGUUAUUCCACAUUUGCUAGUUAUUUUGUGGAUAUUAGUAUUUCUGGUAUUUCAUUGUGUCAUCGUCACUGAAAUCAUAGUGAAAACAAGAAAAGGCAUUUACUCAUAGUACUGGACAGGAUAUAAAUAAAUGUCUUUAAACCAAAAAUCCUGAUUAUCGGCAUGAACAGGCUUCCCAGCUGAAUGUGGAGUUUUUUAUGUUUAUUUACAUGUCACCAUCGGUACUUUGCAGAGUGGUGUUGAGUCACAUUUUAUGCUAAGAAUGGUUGGAAUUUUCAAAGCUGUGACCUGGCUUCAGGGAGGAAAUCUGCAAACCUCUGUUGAAUGCUCAAGCCCCACCCAAAGUUUGUGUAGUAAUUAGCGUUCCUAAAACACUUAGUGUUGAGCUUGUUAUUUAAGAGAUCUGCAAGUGAAGAGGCCAAUAGAACAGCUGUGUAAAUUCUCCAGUAUUUUCUGAUUGAUUUUAAUAUGAGAGUGCUGAGCUGGAUUGUUUUGAAGAUAGCUUUCCAUUAUUCUUUCAAAAGAGGAUAGUUAUUCUUUUAAAAAUAUUUAAUCAUUUAUGGUAUGACAACAUUCUAGUAUCAGGAACAUAACUGCUUUUUUCAGUGGCCUUAAUUGUUAAAUAAAAAAACAAACUAUAUAAGAACAUAAUUUAUUUGUCUUUAAAUAAAGUCUUUUUUGGUAACUAAUUCACUGACUUUAUCAUGAGGAAAUUUAAAAAAGGAGAGAUCAGCUAAUUACUUUAAUAAUAUUAUUUAAUCUCGGUCAUUAAAAUAACACCAUACGUCAGUGAUACUUCUGAUUAUCCAGGUAAAGGUAAUUUCUACAAUUGAAUUAACUUUUCCUAAAUGAUUUCUGAAUUUUAAGGUGUAUACAAACAACAGAGUUUAUUUUGUAAUAUAUGCAACUAAUCUGUAAACAUCAUAGAAUUCCAGUGUUUGGGAAGAGACAUUGCAGCCUUCUUUCUGAAAGGGGUCUGCCCACUGUAUCCUCCUAUCAACACGAGGAGGCUUCAAACGUCAGUGGAACGCUGUGUGGGGACUGGGCCCAGCCUUGCAGAUGUUCACACAGCAGAAAGAGCUGUUUGCAGCUGUUUAUAAAAUGCUGCAGGGUGGAUUUGUAAACAAAUUUAAAAUGGGUUUUGUUCAAUAAAGAAAUUUGCCAGAAAUUACCGAUUGCAUUGGUACUUUUCAGCCAGAGCAGUUGGAAGUCCAGGGGACAUUAGAGAAAGGUUUCUUAGUAAAUCUAAGGUCCUUUGUAAGACUAUUAACUGUUUCAGUUUUAACUGUAUGAGUUGAAAUAUUUGUUGAAAUUCUAUACAGAAAUUAACUCUAGUCACUGCAGAAAGCUAUUAUAAGUGAUCAUUAGACUUUGCUGCCAGUAGGUCGCUGUUCAAGCAAUUUCCAAUGUUUUUCAGUUAUCCAGUGGAAAAAAAAUCCUCACUAGAAAAAUUCAUCGAAGAAGAGCUGCUAAUAUAUUUUUGGUACUUAAGGCUUUGAUCAUAUUUUUGUUACAUAAUUUGCCAUAUAAGGAGACCUGAGAAAUACUAAUGAAGGCUUUGGACAGCCAGAAGAUAUAAUUUCAGAAAAAGAAAGAAACAAGAGUGUGUUGGGUGUUCCAGUUGCCAUUUUUGAGUGGUUUACCAUUUCCUAGCCAUAUUUCAUACAUUUUUUUUCUUUGACAAAUAAUCAAAGCUUUGAAAAGUUACUUACCUCGAGCCUCCCAACGUUUUUUCUUUCAGUGAAGUUCAAAGCACCCUAUUAAUUACUAGCACUUGUGAGAGGAGGCUUUUGAAUUUGUAAAAACUAAAAUGAGACCUAUUGAGAAUUUUAAUAGGUUUUAUACUGAAAUUUGUAAAACAGAAGUUUCUGCAGGUUUCUUUAGUGUGGUUCUCACUGCUUUUAGCAGGCAGAAGUCACAUGCAAAAGACCAAAUUAACCUCAGAAUGCAUUUAGGUGGCCUACAUAGCUUUUCUGGUUUUGGUAGUGAAGCUAUAUAGAUUUAAUUCUCAAUAAAAUAGGUUUUUAAAGUCAUCUCCCUGUUUUACAACGGAACCAGCUUGAUCUCCACAUGAGGCCACUAACAGGACUGGCACACUCAGAUCUGCAGCACCAGCCUGCCCUCCAGGUGGGACACCUUACACAAUGGCUUUCAGCUGCCACAGAAGAGAUGGACAACUCGUCUAUACUGGGAAAUUUUCCUUCUCUUCCUCUUUCCUCCACAACACCUGCUUAGGGAUAGAAGUCACAGGGGAAAAUGGCUGAAUAGUCAUUGUUACCUUUUUUAAAGUUUUUAAUGAAGAUGUCUGAUAACUUGGUAACAGAAAGCAGCAACCCUUGGAUAAACGAGGUGCUGGAGGACAUGGAGGGGAGUUUGUGCAGUUAUUUCCUGCCGAUGUCACGGGGAUGCAGGCAUGCUGCUUUGCUCACAGUGGUGCUGCUGGAUGUGGAGCAGCUCCAGCACAGCCACCUCCAGCAUGCUUGUUUCUGGAGGAUUGAUCAUGCUGCCCUUUUCCAGAAUGGUGGGAAUCUUUUGAAACCAGCUUAGAUUUCUCAAGUGAUUCCCCAAGGUAGUUGGCAUGCAGAGCCUGGAUGCAGAAUUGCCAUGUUUAGAUUGCAUUGUACCUGAGAUAAGAAGUUCUUCUGGGCUCAAGCUGUGUCUGCCUUUAAUCUAUAUUAGAGAUAAACUGAUUUAUAAUUACUUGAAGUUGGUUAUGGAUACACAUCAAUGUAUCCCUUAUCCCAGAUUUCCUUGUCACAUUGUCCCCACAGUUAAUUUUCUUGACUUUGCCACAGAGGCCAAGCCUGCCAUUUAAGAAGUGCUGUAUUUGUUAACUUUGGAUUUUUACAUACGUUUUUGAAGUAAUUUUACUAUUUGUAUGGUGAAAUGGUUUGGAAAACUGCUCUACGAGAAUAAUAAUGACUUCCAUUUCAUUUUGUCAUAGACUCUCAAAUUCAGGAUGUGGACUUUAGUAUUAAAUCUAGGGCUCUCAUCCUGCAAAUGUUUGGUAAUGAAUUUGAUGUAUUUGUGUAUAGUAAAUGCUUUUUGUGAUUGGUUCUAUUUUAGGGUAAGUAAUGUAUAAAGGUUAGAGGCUAAAACUUACAUGUUCUGAUACAUAUAUUUUCUAAUAUAUAUAUAUGUAUCCCUGUUCUCUCAAUAUGGUAAACUAGCUGAUUUCAUGUUUUCAUUAUGUCAAAAAUCGAGCACAGAAAAGGGGAUGGAGGAAAAAGUUGUUUUAAAUUAUUACUAUUAGAUGAAUAAGCUCUCUAAUGAUCCCAUUUACCUGCUAAUUCACAGAGCUGUUUACUUAGCAGUGGAUCUCACAAUAACGAGUGAAAACUGGCAAGGUUUUCCUUUUACAUUUUGUUUCAUAAGCACCUUGGAAAAUGUGUUGAAUUUCAAUCUCCACUCAAGCAAGUGGAACAUCAGUUCCCGUGAAUCACCAGAGCAGAGCAGCAGGAAUCCAUUGCAAAGAGAGCCCUUUUGGAUUCAUUGCAGCUCUGCUGAUGUGUUUUCAUUUGCAAUAAGCAGCAGAGUCACUUUGCCAUUACAGACAACUUCAGUGCUGGGAAGCCUGGCAAGUGGCUAUCAGGUUUUCAUGCUUAUAAAAUGCAGAUGAGGUGGUAUGAAGUGUUUGAUUAAUGAAAAAUUCCUCAAAUAACCUAUACAAAUCUGAAAGCAGCAACAUUAUUUGAUGGGAACUGUCCAUGUGAAAUAGAAUUGUGAGAUAAACUUGCCUCUCUACUACUUACCUACACCCAAAGCCUGUGGUGCUCCGGAAUAUUUUGUAACUAGGCACAAUAUCACUGUAUCUGCUGGUUAUUAUAUUUCUGAGCUGUACAAAUAAACAGUAAUUUGAUCUCAAAGCUCUCUCUGUGUAAGCCAUCUUGAAGGUGGAAUUUUUGGCUUGUGUUCUGAAUACUUGAAAUAUUUUGUGUGCAGUUCAUAUUCCCAUAAAUAUUGUAUCAACUUGGUAUUUGCUUAGUUAAAAAACAUGCUGAAUAUGCUGUAUUAGUUAUUAGCGUUCUCUGUGGUUUUACUCCUGUUAUGUUGCUGAUGCAAGACAGUUAAUAGGUUGUUUGUUUUUGCUGACAUUUUUUAUGUUAGAAAAUGGGAAUUUUGAAACCAUUUUUUUUUUUCUAUAUGAUACUUUGUGAACAAAAUAAAAUUGCAAUGAUCUAAUUGUUUGAAAUGAAAUACUAGAUUAUGUUCUUAAGGGAAUGUGAGUGGACAAUGCUUGGGUCAAAGAUAUUCUCAGUGGUUUAGAAUACUACUUUUUGGAAUGGACUGUUUUGGAAAGUAGGGGGAAAUGCUAUUCUGAAUGAAGAAGUUAAACAAGUUGUUUCAAUGAGUAAUUAUAACUGUGGCAGUAAUUAAUAGUGUAAUUGAUUUCAGCAACCUGGGGGAACAAAUUAUUUCAGAAGUUGCACUAAAAUCUCCAAAUUAUUUUAAAUAUGCAAUAGUGAAGAAGAAUGUAACUCAAAAGUGAAGAAACUGUGGCUGAAAUUACUGCAGGCUUAAGUUAACUGGCAGAAGACAUUCCUACAUCCCUAAACAAUGGGUGAAUAGGAAGCAAGAGCCAAGGAAAAUAGCAGUUUAACCCAAAGAAGGAUUCAGGAAUGGUAUGUAAUAACCAGGAUGGAAAUUGUCCGUGCACUGAGGUUGCCCAGUUUUCAGUUACUGCACUCAUGAUGAAAGCCCAAGCAGCUGCAGAGACCACCUUUCUUCCAGUCACCUGGGGAAUACAAGAUCUUGAAGAGAGAGAUGGUGCUGUGCAAAGCUGCUGAUGUGUUUCUCCACAGGAUUUUGUGCCUGCACUGGAACUCUCAUGGAAGGCUCAGUUUCCCAUGGAUGAAGAUUCAUUACCACCAUAAUGAUGUUAGUGGUUGAGUCAGGAAUUGAAGUCUCCUGAACACCUGAAUUAGUGAUAAUCAAAUAUUUUUU